RNAcentral lists this transfer RNA (64 nucleotides) under Scolytinae sp. BMNH 1043104. RNAcentral describes it as "tRNA-Pro". Lineage: Eukaryota; Metazoa; Arthropoda; Insecta; Coleoptera; Curculionidae. The record is from RNAcentral.
CAGAAAAUAGUUUAAAAAAAAUUUUAGUUUUGGAGAUUAAAGAUAGAAGAUUCUCUUUUUCUGA